Molecule: ribosomal RNA, 465 nt
Filed under: uncultured bacterium
Lineage: Bacteria
Description: partial 16S ribosomal RNA
Rfam family: Bacterial small subunit ribosomal RNA
Source: RNAcentral
GACGAACGCUGGCGGCGUGCUUAACACAUGCAAGUCGAACGGAAAGGCCCCUUUGUGGGUACUCGAGUGGCGAACGGGUGAGUAACACGUGAGUAACCUGCCCUUGACUUCGGGAUAACUUCAGGUAACUGGGGCUAAUGCCGGAUAGGAAUCCUUGCUGCAUGGUGGGGGUUGGAAAGCUUCGGCGGGUUUGGAUGGACUCGCGGCUUAUCAGCUUGUUGGUGGGGUAGUGGCUUACCAAGGCUUUGACGGGUAGCCGGCCUGAGAGGGCGACCGGCCACAUUGGGACUGAGAUACGGCCCAGACUCCUACGGGAGGCAGCAGUGGGGAAUAUUGAACAAUGGGCGGAAGCCUGAUGCAGCAACGCCGCGUGCGGGAUGACGGCCUUCGGGUUGUAAACCGCUUUCAGCAGGGGCGAAGCUUGUGGUGACGGUACCUGCAGAAGAAGCACCGGCUAACUACGUG